Molecule: long non-coding RNA, 968 nt
Filed under: Equus asinus (donkey)
Lineage: Eukaryota; Metazoa; Chordata; Mammalia; Perissodactyla; Equidae
Description: lncRNA (ENSEASG00005028981.1)
Source: RNAcentral
UAUUCUGUUUGCCUAGAAUGCUCUUCCCCAAGAUAUUUCCACCCAUUAUUUCCUGACUUCUUUAGCUCUCAGCAAAAAUGUCACAUCCUCAGAGAAACCUUCCUUUGCCUAACUUGCUUUGUUUUUCUUACAGCACUUAGCACCGUAUGAAGCUAUGUAUGUGUAUAUUUCCUGUUUCUACCUUGGUGCAAAUUCCGUGAAAGCUAGAACAUUGUGUGGUUCAUUAUCUUGUUCAUUGUCCCUGUGCUGAAUAUUGUGUCUAGCUUAUAGUAGAUGCUUAAUUAUUAUUAAUUAAAUGAAUGAAGCUUGACGAGAAUGUUCAUUGAUGCCCCCAGGGUCUAUGCUUGGGGUUAUAGGUGAGAAGGCUUUAUGAAGAAAUUCUUUAGUCCUGCCUCCUGUCCAAUGACUUGGACAGAUGGCAUUACAGUGUGAUUCAGGACAUGGGUUGCAGAAGAACUGCCUGGAGUUUACUACUUGUUAACCUUAGGACUCAAUUACCAGGCAUAACAAGAAUCAACUGUAUAUUUCUCCUUCCACUCACUAAUCAACUUCUCCAGAAAGUGGUUUUCACUCGAAACCUCUAUUUCAUCACAAUACUUCCUGCCAGAAUAUUUUAUUAUCUGACUCACAUCUGCACCCUACGACAUUCUCAGAACCCAAGAGAGAAAUUCCGCCAGACCUCAGGACAGGGGGAAUGAGGGACCCCCUCAGGACUCUCAGCUGCCUUCUGAGUGUCAGUGUCCUUCUUCCCUCUCUCCCUUUGCAGUUUGACCUUCUCUGGACUUUUUGGUCUAUAUGGAAGAAGAAUGGCAGCCAAAGCCAUUGAGUUUUACAUCCUCCCAUCCAAUUAACUGAAGACAGACUGACUCUCUUCUUGGUUCCGUAUAUCCUGAGAAAGACUUAGGACCCAGGUUGGGUCAGGUGCUGCAACCCUGGAUAUUCAGCUGAGGCUGGUAUGUGUGUGUGUG